GACAUGCGGGAUGCAUUGGAGCUCAUCCGAGAUGAGGAUAGACAGGAGAGGAGGGAAGUAAAAAGAGAGAAGUUACAGGGGUUGGAGAAUAAACACAGGGGCCAGGUAACAUCAUUCUCCCUCUGGUGGUGGCUAUGCACCUUACACUGGAUCCUACCUAUUUAUCAGUUAUUAAACCUGUACAGCUAAUAGCUACUGAUCUUAGUUAACGGUAAUGUCUAUGAUGUUGUAAUGCUUAUAAGAUGCAAAUAUAAGUACUGAUCUACCAUAGUAACAGUUGUUCUUUUUGUUAUCUUUGUAGAAAGGAAUCAUGUUUGAGAUCCGGUUGGACUGUGAGGAGAGUAAAGAAGGGCGACGAGGAGAGGACGAGAAGAAGGAGGGAAUAGGAGGAGAGGAGAGAGAGGUACGGCAGCUUUGUUAAUCAAAUUAUACCUCUUUGUCCUUGUCGCUGUGUCCGUCUAUCACUCUCUCACUGUCACUAUCGCUGUCUUAUUCCCCCUCUCUGUAUCUGACAGGCUGAGGGUCUUCUCAACCAGCGCCUAAGUUUCCAGGAGGGGGAGGAGCUCAGGCAUAGGGAUUGGUCGGUGGGGGAGGGGGGGCAGGGCCAGGUGAGGAGGGGGUGGAGUGAGCGGUUACCAGAGACUCUUCUGGAGGCCCUAGCCGGGAUGGACGUGUCUCUUGCAGGAGGCGAUGAAGAGGAGGAGGAAGCAGAGAGGAGGAGAGCAUGGGGGAGCGGACCCCCAAGCACUCUGCUCAAUGCCCUGGCCCACGCCCCCCUCAGCUCCUCCUCCUCCACCCUCGACACUCUGACACCAGAACCACCAGUAGAGGGGCAGAAGGAGGAGGAGGGACAGGGAGAGGCGGAGAGAGAGGAGCAGAGUGAGGGAGAGGAGGAGUUGGAGAAGGAGGUGCAGAUGAAGGAGGAGUCAGAUGUGGAGGUGGACGGCGAUCGUCUGGAGCCCCGGUCUGACGACGAUGACACGAACUUUGAGGAGUCUGAAGACGAGCUGAGGGAGGAGGUGGCCGACUCCAUGAAGAAUCUCUUCAUCAUGGAUGAAGAUGAAGACGAGGAGCCCGGAGAGAGAGAAGAGAUAGAUGGAAGGAUAAAGAAGGAGGGAGGGGAAGAUAAGGGAUGUGGGGACCCCAGACCAACACAGGCAGAGCCAGACAGCUACCCAUUGACCAAGGCCCCUCCCUCUUCAACCGAGGCCCAAGAUGAGGGGUGUGGGGGCCAGCCCGAGCAUAUAGGUGACCCUCAGACAUCAGAUGAAGCCUCCUCCGAAGACGACGGUAAAUAGAUCAGGAUCAUAUAUAGACAGGUCUUCACUGAGAGGGUUGGUGGAAAGACGCAUGUUGAUGGAGGUUCUAGGAAAGGAAUUUCAUCACAUCUGCACAUAUAUUCCUCAAGCUUUACUUAAAUUUGAAUGUAUUUAUGCAACCAAUCUAAUAAAUGAUUCAAAUGGAAUCCAAAACGUCUGUCUCCUUCUGUUAAGUAGCAACAGAAUAGAUUUGGUUCUAUUGACUCGUCGUUCUGAUUGGUCUGCGCAGAGCAGGUGCCUUCCCUGUGCUUUCAUUAGGGGCUUAGUUUGUUAAGCAUGUCUCAUUACCAACUAGUUGCGCUUGUUUAGAACUUGAAUAAGAGUGAUAAAUGGAACCAAAGUGUUUAUUAAAGACAAGGGAAGAUAAUCAACACCUCAAAAAUACAGAUUCAUUUACACAUUUUAAUUAAAUAUGCACAAUUAUCCAACACAAAUGGGAUGGAAGAAAUGACAUUUAAACAAGCGGUUAUUUGAAGAGCCGCCUGUAGAGGAGGAAUGUAAAGGAAUAGGAUCAAGCACAGUGACACUUUAAUUUUAAUUAACAACAUCAACCCGCUCUGCAGCCAUUCAGAAACUGUAAAAUGUGAUUGGCUAGGGCAGAAAUGAUCUGCCAAUGAGCAUGCGGGAAAAAUACAGAGGUAAGACAUACAGGAAAACAGAUUUUGGUUUCUGAUUUUAACUCGUUACAUAUAACUUAUAGAACUUCAUGGUUCGAUUGUCUCUUGGUGGGCCACUUGUAGGAGUAACCACCACUAAAAUGUAUUUUCCAAUUAACAACUGAUUGGUACUGUUCAUCCUCUCUUUAAGCCUGGAAAACAGCCUCUCUCUCCUCCUCAGAUCCUGUUACUUUCUGUAAGCGUAGCUAGCAGAAGCAUUUGCGGUUAGCUGGUGCCACUUCUACAACUUUUAAGGACAUGCUAGUUUCUUACUGUUAGCAAGAGAUAAAGUUACUGUAGGGUAGUCAAUCGGUCGCUAUGGAAACCAGGACGGGGUAACCAUGGAACCUUGACGGAAUCGCCAUAGAAAAGCGAUAGUUGCCAGCUAAACAAUAAUCGAUGGCAAUGGAACCGUUGUCAAAGCCUCCAUGG
This 2407-nucleotide long non-coding RNA is filed under the name Gadus morhua (Atlantic cod). Its description in RNAcentral is "lncRNA (ENSGMOG00000027093.1)". The record is from RNAcentral. Lineage: Eukaryota; Metazoa; Chordata; Actinopteri; Gadiformes; Gadidae.